This 372-nucleotide ribosomal RNA is filed under the name uncultured bacterium. RNAcentral's name for it is "bacterial SSU rRNA". It matches the Rfam family "Bacterial small subunit ribosomal RNA", at positions 790 to 1167 of the family's 1533-position model. The record is from RNAcentral.
GUAGUCCACGCCCUAAACGAUGUCGACUAGUUGUCGGGUCCUUGCGGACUCGGUAACGCAGCUAACGCGUGAAGUCGACCGCCUGGGGAGUACGGUCGCAAGAUUAAAACUCAAAGGAAUUGACGGGGACCCGCACAAGCGGUGGAUGAUGUGGAUUAAUUCGAUGCAACGCGAAAAACCUUACCUACCCUUGACAUGGCAGGAACGGGGCAGAGAUGUCCCGGUGCCCGAAAGGGAACCUGCGCACAGGUGCUGCAUGGCUGUCGUCAGCUCGUGUCGUGAGAUGUUGGGUUAAGUCCCGCAACGAGCGCAACCCUUGUCACUAGUUGCUACGAAAGGGCACUCUAGUGAGACUGCCGGUGACAAACCGGA